RNAcentral lists this ribosomal RNA (253 nucleotides) under uncultured bacterium. RNAcentral's name for it is "partial 16S ribosomal RNA". It matches the Rfam family "Bacterial small subunit ribosomal RNA", at positions 524 to 776 of the family's 1533-position model. The record is from RNAcentral.
UACGGGGGGGGCAAGCGUUGUUCGGAAUUACUGGGCGUAAAGGGCGCGUAGGCGGCCUUCUAAGUCGGACGUGAAAUCCCUCGGCUUAACCGAGGAACUGCGUCCGAUACUGAAAGGCUUGAAUCCGGGAGAGGGAUGUGGAAUUCCAGGUGUAGCGGUGAAAUGCGCAGAUAUCAGGAGGAACACCGAUGGCGAAGGCAGGUCUCUGGGCCACUACUGACGCUGAGAAGCGAAAGCAUGGGGAGCGAACAGG